This is a non-coding RNA of Cinara cedri, 454 nucleotides long. The record is from the annotation of a GenBank genome assembly. NCBI's taxonomy places the organism in Eukaryota, Metazoa, Arthropoda, Insecta, Hemiptera, Aphididae.
AAAAAUGUUACCACCUACCUUCUCACUUGCUCUAUAAGAUUAGCAAAUGAUUGUUCCUAAGCAUAAUUUUGAUCACUUAUAUACCAAUUAUGAUUUUGUACAUUAAAUGGGCUCAAAUUUAUCCGUCUUCAAUCGGAAUUCUGCAAUUUUUUUCCCAAACCAAACUGAACAUACAUUGAAUAUUGCACAAGUUAAUUUUGAAUGUCGUUUAUUUUUAACGUUGUUUUCCAUGUGUAUUCCAUAUUUUCAAACCUUGUAAAUGGACGGAAACCACUCUUAGUAAUGACGAAACCCCAGACAAAAUAUGUGAUAAUAACCUAUAAUUGGUGAAUGUGUAUUAAUGCCGAAUCAAACCGAUCAACAUCAUUUGACAUUUAAUUUACCACUUGAUCAACUGUAGUUUCACCGAGCGCGGAAUGACCCAAACGUAGUGCGUAUGCAAUAAUAGUUUUCA